CCUACGGGAGGCAGCAGUGGGGAAUAUUGCGCAAUGGGCGAAAGCCUGACGCAGCGACGCCGCGUGAGGGAUGAAGGUCUUCGGAUCGUAAACCUCUUUCAGCAGGGAAGAACGGUCACUGUGCUAAUCAGCAGUGAAUUGACGGUACCUGCAAAGGAAGCACCGGCUAACUCCGUGCCAGCAGCCGCGGUAAUACGGAGGGUGCGAGCGUUAAUCGGAUUUACUGGGCGUAAAGCGCUCGUAGGCGGUAUGUCAAGUCAAGGGUAAAUCCCCGGGCUCAACGUGGGGACUGCCUUUGAAACUGGCAAACUGGAGUGUGUGAGAGGAUAGUGGAAUUCCAGGUGUAGGAGUGAAAUCCGUAGAUAUCUGGAGGAACAUCAGUGGCGAAGGCGACUAUCUGGCACAUAACUGACGCUGAGGAGCGAAAGCGUGGGUAGCAAACAGGAUUAGAUACCCCUGUAGUC
Molecule: ribosomal RNA, 464 nt
Filed under: uncultured bacterium
Lineage: Bacteria
Description: partial 16S ribosomal RNA
Rfam family: Bacterial small subunit ribosomal RNA
Source: RNAcentral